This 1117-nucleotide long non-coding RNA is filed under the name Sus scrofa (pig). RNAcentral describes it as "lncRNA (ENSSSCG00015014269.1)". Lineage: Eukaryota; Metazoa; Chordata; Mammalia; Artiodactyla; Suidae. The record is from RNAcentral.
AGUCUGCAUUCUUCUCAAAAGCUAGUGUUUAGCAGCCCCAGGGCUGGUUCUGUUGGUCCUCCUCUUUCUGGAAAGAAGAAUGCUUCAUCAAGGAGUUAACGUCUUCCAUUUGUUGGGGGUUCUACUUCUUCAGAAGAGCGCAAAGAUAUUUUUGCAUGUUUUGUUCAGGUGAACCAGGACUCUGCCCCAAAGCUGCACUAUUGUUUCUGGACUGUUCCUCCCUUGUCUCUGCUUCCGCUCCCUUCCCUGAUUAGCAACUGUUUAAACCUGCCUUUUGGAACUCAGGGAUGUUCAGAGAGGCUGAGCGAAGCUUAUUCCGUACAAACUAGAAACGGGGACACAGGAAGACUUUUGUGUCCAGAAGCCCCACAGGGUCCUGCCAGGCUUCAGGAGGACCUCUUCUACCCUGAUGAUUAAAUCUCUCAUCAGGUAAGAUUCAUGGAGAAGCUGUACUCCCCAACAUGCAGUGACGCUGUGGUUCAUCCUCCGUUCCUUUUUCUGUCUUCAGCACCUCAUUUGUGGGGCUUGAACUCCCAGGCUUGGAAUAUAGCACAAUUAGUGCUUGAGUGUGCAUACACACACACACACACACACACACACACACACACACAUUAUCUGUUGAAAACUCCCAGUCCAGGCUCUGCUUACAUACAGGCAGAAUGAGGGGAAGGGACAGAAGAGGGCAGUGGUGGGGAAGCACCAGCCCGGUUGCCUCCCAGUGGAAGGAUGGCUGCCCUACUUUCUGAUUUUUAGGGCCCCAGCCUUUCCGAGACAAGGAGGAAGUACAAAGUUCCUUUUUACUUUUCUUUAAGUGGUCUCAAUUUCAUUUUCUAAAAAGUAAGGCAGUUUUCUCUCAGUUCAACUCCAUCUGCUUUCAAGUUAGUGGAAAUCUCUCUUUGAUUUUGUAUUAGGCUGGUUACCAAUCUUCUUUUAGGUGAGGUGUGUGAGCUUCUAUUGCAGGGGCAGGGAGGACCCCUUCCAGGGCCCAAGGAUGGGCUCUGGUCUAACACUCAGAAAUGAACUGUCUGAGGAGACACACGUGCUGACAACGCAAGAGACUUUAUUGGAAAGGAGCUCCCAAGGUGGAGAGCAGCAGGGGAAGGGAACCCAGGAGAAC